RNAcentral lists this non-coding RNA (30 nucleotides) under Mus musculus (house mouse). Lineage: Eukaryota; Metazoa; Chordata; Mammalia; Rodentia; Muridae. The record is from RNAcentral.
AUCAGUCUUUUUAGAUGCAUUCUGAGUCCU